UCGUAACAAGGUUUCCGUAGGUGAACCUGCGGAAGGAUCAUUAUCUAUUCCAUGAGGUGUGGUCGCGGCCCCCGGGGGGGCUAAACUCCCCCAGGGCGGUAGAGGUAACACUUUCACGCGCCACAUGUCUGAAUCCUUUUUUUACGAGCACCUUUCGUUCUCCUUCGGUGGGGCAACCUGCCGCUGGAACUCAACAAUAACCUUUUUUGCAUCUAGCAUUACCUGUUCUGAUACAAACAAUCGUUACAACUUUCAACAAUGGAUCUCUUGGCUCUGGCAUCGAUGAAGAACGCAGCGAAAUGCGAUAAGUAGUGUGAAUUGCAGAAUUCAGUGAAUCAUCGAAUCUUUGAACGCACAUUGCGCCCCUUGGUAUUCCAUGGGGCAUGCCUGUUCGAGCGUCAUCUACACCCUCAAGCUCUGCUUGGUGUUGGGCGUCUGUCCCGCCUUUGCGCGUGGACUCGCCCCAAAUUCAUUGGCAGCGGUCCUUGCCUCCUCUCGCGCAGCACAUUGCGCUUCUCGAGGUGCGCGGCCCGCGUCCACGAAGCAACAUUACCGUCUUUGACCUCGGAUCAGGUAGGGAUACCCGCUGAACUUAAGCAUAUCAUA
Molecule: ribosomal RNA, 606 nt
Filed under: Didymosphaeria variabile
Lineage: Eukaryota; Fungi; Ascomycota; Dothideomycetes; Pleosporales; Didymosphaeriaceae
Description: eukaryotic LSU rRNA
Rfam family: 5.8S ribosomal RNA (bases 248-401)
Source: RNAcentral